UACGUGGGGUGCAAGCGUUGUUCGGAUUUACUGGGCGUAAAGGGCGCGUAGGCGGUCAGCACAAGUCAGUUGUGAAAUCUCCGGGCUUAACUCGGAAAGGUCAACUGAUACUGUGCGACUAGAGUGCAGAAGGGGCAACUGGAAUUCUCGGUGUAGCGGUGAAAUGCGUAGAUAUCGAGAGGAACACCUGCGGCGAAGGCGGGUUGCUGGGCUGACACUGACGCUGAUGCGCGAAAGCCAGGGGAGCGAACGGG
RNAcentral lists this ribosomal RNA (254 nucleotides) under uncultured bacterium. RNAcentral describes it as "partial 16S ribosomal RNA". It matches the Rfam family "Bacterial small subunit ribosomal RNA", at positions 524 to 776 of the family's 1533-position model. The record is from RNAcentral.